This 80-nucleotide non-coding RNA is filed under the name unclassified sequences. Its description in RNAcentral is "CyVA-1 RNA". It matches the Rfam family "CyVA-1 RNA". Rfam says of the family: Cyanobacteria, Acidobacteria (1 example), Verrucomicrobia (1 example). Big IGRs The record is from Rfam by way of RNAcentral.
GGGCCAGAGCGGGAGUUUUGUCCGUUGUGUCCCGCGAAUCGCCGGCCGGAGGGAAGGGCCGUCAGGCCGGCGGGUGGCUU